Molecule: ribosomal RNA, 1074 nt
Filed under: Halobacterium salinarum
Lineage: Archaea; Methanobacteriati; Methanobacteriota; Halobacteria; Halobacteriales; Halobacteriaceae
Description: bacterial SSU rRNA
Rfam family: Archaeal small subunit ribosomal RNA
Source: RNAcentral
UCNAUAGCUGCUAGUUGUGCGGGUUUAGACCCGCAGCGGAAAGCUCAGUAACACGUGGCCAAGCUACCCUGUGGACGGGAAUACUCUCGGGAAACUGAGGCUAAUCCCCAAUAACGCUUUGCUCCUGGAAGGGGCAAAGCCGGAAACGCUCCGGCGCCACAGGAUGCGGCUGCGGUCGAUUAGGUAGACGGUGGGGUAACGGCCCACCGUGCCCAUAAUCGGUACGGGUUGUGAGAGCAAGAGCCCGGAGACGGAAUCUGAGACAAGAUUCCGGGCCCUACGGGGCGCAGCAGGCGCGAAACCUUUACACUGUACGAAAGUGCGAUAAGGGGACUCCGAGUGUGAAGGCAUAGAGCCUUCACUUUUGUACACCGUAAGGUGGUGCACGAAUAAGGACUGGGCAAGACCGGUGCCAGCCGCCGCGGUAAUACCGGCAGUCCGAGUGAUGGCCGAUCUUAUUGGGCCUAAAGCGUCCGUAGCUGGCUGAACAAGUCCGUUGGGAAAUCUGUCCGCUUAACGGGCAGGCGUCCAGCGGAAACUGUUCAGCUUGGGACCGGAAGACCUGAGGGGUACGUCUGGGGUAGGAGUGAAAUCCUGUAAUCCUGGACGGACCGCCGGUGGCGAAAGCGCCUCAGGAGAACGGAUCCGACAGUGAGGGACGAAAGCUAGGGUCUCGAACCGGAUUAGAUACCCGGGUAGUCCUAGCUGUAAACGAUGUCCGCUAGGUGUGGCGCAGGCUACGAGCCUGCGCUGUGCCGUAGGGAAGCCGAGAAGCGGACCGCCUGGGAAGUACGUCUGCAAGGAUGAAACUUAAAGGAAUUGGCGGGGGAGCACUACAACCGGAGGAGCCUGCGGUUUAAUUGGACUCAACGCCGGACAUCUCACCAGCCCCGACAGUAGUAAUGACGGUCAGGUUGAUGACCUUACCCGAGGCUACUGAGAGGAGGUGCAUGGCCGCCGUCAGCUCGUACCGUGAGGCGUCCUGUUAAGUCAGGCAACGAGCGAGACCCGCACUCCUAAUUGCCAGCAGUACCCUUUGGGUAGCUGGGUACAUUAAGGUGGACUGCCGCUGCC